AGCGAACGCUGGCGGCAGGCCUAACACAUGCAAGUCGAACGAACUCUUCGGAGUUAGUGGCGGACGGGUGAGUAACACGUGGGAACGUGCCUUUAGGUUCGGAAUAACUCAGGGAAACUUGUGCUAAUACCGAAUGUGCCCUUCGGGGGAAAGAUUUAUCGCCUUUAGAGCGGCCCGCGUCUGAUUAGCUAGUUGGUGAGGUAAAGGCUCACCAAGGCGACGAUCAGUAGCUGGUCUGAGAGGAUGAUCAGCCACAUUGGGACUGAGACACGGCCCAAACUCCUACGGGAGGCAGCAGUGGGGAAUCUUGCGCAAUGGGCGAAAGCCUGACGCAGCCAUGGCGCGUGAAUGAUGAAGGUCUUAGGAUUGUAAAAUUCUUUCACCGGGGACGAUAAUGACGGUACCCGGAGAAGAAGCCCCGGCUAACUUCGUG
Molecule: ribosomal RNA, 433 nt
Filed under: uncultured bacterium
Lineage: Bacteria
Description: partial 16S ribosomal RNA
Rfam family: Bacterial small subunit ribosomal RNA
Source: RNAcentral